GCUCCUGUAGUCUAGCCCGGUUCAGGACGAUGGCCUCUCGCGCCGUCAACCCGAGUUCAAAUCUCGGCGGGAGCA
Molecule: transfer RNA, 75 nt
Filed under: Candidatus Woesearchaeota archaeon
Lineage: Archaea; Nanobdellati; Candidatus Woesearchaeota
Description: tRNA-Glu
Rfam family: tRNA
About the family: Transfer RNA (tRNA) molecules are approximately 80 nucleotides in length. Their secondary structure includes four short double-helical elements and three loops (D, anti-codon, and T loops).
Source: RNAcentral